AGAGAAUCGGCGCCAAUAUGUAAUUUGGUGUAUUGUUAAGCGAUCGGCUGCAUACAUGAGACUGGAAAAACCCUGCCAUGUAGUUUAUUUAGGUUCCUAGUCGAUGCUACAGUAAGGAAGCGGUGGAUAUAAAGAUGUAGACACAGUUACGAAACCUGCUGAAGCAGAAGCAUCUGCUUCAAACGUACAUGUAGGAACCGAAGUUGAUACUGCUACCAAUAUAUCUGUACCAGACAACAAUGAAGUGCAUCUACAUGAUCACGAGUAUACAGCACCAAACCCUCAACAUUUAAAAAGCUUCCCUUGAAGACUAUGAUGUUGUAAACUUGCAGUGAGAAAUAUACCUGCUUAAUUAAAGGAAACCAUCCUUGACAAUUGGGAACAUCAUAAUUGAAAGACCCUGGAAAGGGAUCAUGAACACUGUUGGGAGUGUCCAUUCAACUGAAAUAUAAAAGUCAGAAGAAUUGAAGAUUGCAAUGGAUGCAACAGAAGUGACCAAAUAUGACCAAAUUGAUAUGAAUAGCCAGUUUUUCGCUUGCAGUAAUGACAAGAGUCGCCACAAAGAAAAGACCUUAAUGUGUAUUACACCUAAUGCAGCUUAUUUCCAAUCUGUAUGCUGGAUACAAAUCUAAUUUGGCAAUUGUGAACCAUUGUGGCAUUUUAGAGAAGUUGCAAGUUGGUGAUAUAUUCCUGGCGGACAAAGGAUUUUGUAUAUUUGACAAACUUCCAAAUGACAUGACACUUAAUAUCCCAUUCUUUCUUACAAAUAAAUCCUACUUCUCAAAAGA
Long non-coding RNA from Ostrea edulis (European flat oyster), 788 nucleotides. RefSeq lists it as uncharacterized. Lineage: Eukaryota; Metazoa; Mollusca; Bivalvia; Ostreida; Ostreidae. The transcript is spliced from 4 exons. The record is from RefSeq and is a predicted model, not a curated record.